Molecule: long non-coding RNA, 3133 nt
Filed under: Sus scrofa (pig)
Lineage: Eukaryota; Metazoa; Chordata; Mammalia; Artiodactyla; Suidae
Description: lncRNA (ENSSSCG00025073211.1)
Source: RNAcentral
AUGUCUCUUAUUUCGUGUCUAGAAUAUUGCAGUCACAAUCAGCGAAUUCUUUAAAUUCCUCUCACGGACACCCCUUUGCACCAUGAAUCCGAAAUUAUGUAGGCAUUUUCCCUUCUACACAAACAGACUGACUGGCUUGCAGCAGGUACUGAGUAAUCAGUGGCAGGAUCAAAGGUCAAAAUCUCUGAUCUGUAUUCUAACCAUGGCAGGACAGGUCACACCUCUGCAAACAAGCUGGAAACUGUGACACUCUCUCCAACAGCAACCGAAUUCUCUAAGCUGAGCCUCAUUUUAGCCAUCGGUUUCUUUCAGCUCCCUUGCUAAAUCUUUUUUCCCAGAUCUGCUUCUUUCUCUUUCUCGCUUCAUGCCUAACAAGCAAGGAAACAGACAAAAAGAAAGCUGUAGGUGUGGAGCCACAAGCCUGAAAAACCUGACGAAAUGAGAGUUAACUAAAUGGAUUUCUUUGCUACAGUUCAGAACGCGACUUUUCUUGAAUAAUAGAACGAGUCCAAGGAUCUUCAGCAGGGUACAAAGUGAGUCUGUAAUAGAAUUUCACUUGCAUGAAAAUGUUUGCAGAGUCACCAAAUGGACUUAAGAAAACGCGUAAGGUGGUUUUUCCAAAAGGAAAAAAGAAAAACCACCUGUCAGAACUCUGCCACCAGGACAAAACUGAUGCAAAAAACCAGUCACAAAAAUCCUUCAGAGAAGGUCGUCUGGUCACCCAAAGAAAUUUAUAAAUUGUCUGGAGAAGAUGGAUCAGAUGCCAUCAACACUAUUCUUACGCAUUAGGAAGCAUGGCGGGGGGGGGGGGGGGGGGGGGGNACGUGGAAAUAACAAUGCAAACAGUUCCAUCUUUACCAGGAAAGACAUACUGACCAGGCAUUUUUUAAAAACCGUACUUAAUUCCUUAAAAAUGCUAGAACCUCAAGAAGUUUCACCAGUCCUUUGGGGCCAGCUCUCCUCCCUCUGUGCUUGCUCCCGGUGCAUCCAUCCUUUAACUACCUGUAAAUUUACUGAAGUCAGAGACCGUCUGAUUCAUUUCAGUACAGCCUUCAGCAUAUAUCUCUGUGCUCUUACAAUCAUAAACAGGAGAGUUUAAAUGAGCAGUUUUCGGAGCUCUCGUUGCAAACAGAUCCGACUAGUAUCCUUGAGGAUUCAGGUUCGAUGCCUGGCCCCGCUCAGUGGGUUAAGGAUCCGGCGCUGCCCUGAGCUGUGCUGUAGGCCGCAGAGGCAGCUUAGACUUGGCAUUGCUGUGACUGAGGCAAAGGCCAGAAGCUGCAGCUAUGAUUCGACCCCUAGCCUGGGAACUUUCAUAUGCCACAGCGGAGGCCCUAAACAAACAGACAAACAAAAAACAACAAAAGAGAGAAAGAUUUUGCCAAAAGGCCCAACCUUCAGACCCCAGAUUCCAGAAAAUCGGAUCUAGUACAUCUGAACUGAACUCAGCGAUUAAUUCAGAUAUUCAAUAAGCAUUUAUGAAGUAUUUACGUGGUAGGUGUUAUUAACUCCACUAUACGAACAAGUAUACUUUACUCCACAAGUAAAGUAACCUGCUAAAGAUCACAAAACAAAAUAAGUAAGGGUCACGUUUAGGCUGAAGUAGCAGCCCAUGCAUCCCCCCACUCACUCAUUCAUUCUUCAUUCACUUACUCAACUGGUCAUUAAAAACCUGCGGGCUUUCGAAAGGAAAACUCACACACCGACACCAAAUGCCAAUUAUUUCUGUACUCUUCGCUGGCAGUCCCGAAAAACCUUCCCCCCGUGGCGCCCUGGAAGCCAUCGGAAAGUGCACACGAAAGAAGAGAAGAGGGACGGCCUGGCUUUAUUUCUAGAGAUGGCAGCACUUCGCUAUUUUAGGAAUAGCUCUUUUCUUCGUACACUAAUUUUUUUCAAUGGGAAAUAUAUUUUCAGAGGUGACUUUUAAAUCUCUCUUUCUGUCUAGUGGCUUAGUCUUUUAGACGUUAGGAAAAUCCAUCUCUUUAAAUUCAUAUUACCUUUCAUAAUCGCCAUCAAUAUAAACGGAAGUCCCCGAUUUUUUUUUUUUUUUUUUUUUUUUUUUUUUGCUUUUGUUUUUGGGCUUUUUCGGGCUGCACUCACGGCCUAUGGAGGUCCCCAGGCUAGGGGUCGGAUCGGAGCUACAGCUACUGGUCUCGACCGCAGCCACAGCAACGCCAGAUCCCAGCCACGCCUGCGACCCACACCACAGCUCAGGCAAUGCCGGAUCCUUAGCCCACUGAGCGAGGCCAGGGAUGGAACCUGCAUCCUCAUGGUUCCUAGUCGAUUCGUUUCCACUGAUCCACGACGGGACCUCCAAUCCCCAAUAUUUUUAAUCGAAAAGAGUAUCACUUGCUUUAAUUUUUCUCAUCACUCUCACUCCUGGGGAAAGAAACAUUCCUACUAUUUCUGAACUUAACUAAAACAGAGAUUAAACUGUCUUACACCUCACACAUGUCAUAUGACAAGUACAAUACCCAUGUUUAAGUUCUGAGCCGAGUAUUAUCUUACUACAGUGAUGUUCCUACAUAAGGCCUAAGAACGGACAAGUGUAAGACCCAGUAUAACACCUGAGAAGAAAAUACAGCAAAAGGACUUACGCUGCAGGUACACUUUCAAACGAACACAGAUAACUGGACAAAUAAAAUGUCCGCAUUCCAGUGAAAAUUCUUUUCUAGGUCAUAAGACAAACAUUACUUUCAAACUUGCGCAAUUCAGGAGGGGGAAACAUGUUUUGUUUUCAGCCUCUUGAGGGCCACUGUGGUGUUCCGUCUCCGGGACGGAAAACUCACCCCUGGACCCACACCUGUAACUGCCAUCCUCUGCCUGGCCUCCUACUGCAUAUAUCCAGGUCAACAAAAACGGCUUCUUGCUACACUAGAGAAGGUCAGGGGACAAAAAACCUCUUGCUUUGCUAUGCUUCCUGCUUUGUUAUCAGGACAUACCAGCCUCUAGGCUUCAGGUGCUCUGAGAAAACAAGUGGAGAAGCAGAGAGAGAAAUGGACUCGCUGCCAGCAGCCUUCGUGAAUUCAAGCUGAUUCACUCUGUUUGUUCGGUUCCCAUAUCAGCUCAGUUAAUGAUACUCCACCGGAAUAUAUUUGUCCAGGAGUCCGGGCAGAAGCAUUUCUCAGUAAGACAA